AGGACGAACGCUGGCGGCGUGCUUAACACAUGCAAGUCGAGCGGUAAGGCCUUUCGGGGUACACGAGCGGCGAACGGGUGAGUAACACGUGGGUGAUCUGCCCUGCACUUCGGGAUAAGCCUGGGAAACUGGGUCUAAUACCGGAUAUGACCUCAGGUUGCAUGACUUGGGGUGGAAAGAUUUAUCGGUGCAGGAUGGGCCCGCGGCCUAUCAGCUUGGUUGGUGGGGUAAUGGCCUACCAAGGCGACGACGGGUAGCCGACCUGAGAGGGUGACCGGCCACACUGGGACUGAGACACGGCCCAGACUCCUACGGGAGGCAGCAGUGGGGAAUAUUGCACAAUGGGCGAAAGCCUGAUGCAGCGACGCCGCGUGAGGAUGACGGCCUUCGGGUUGUAAACCUCUUUCAGCAGGACGAAGCGCAAGUGACGGUACCUGCAGAAGAGCACCGCUAACUACGUGCCAGCAGCCGAC
Molecule: ribosomal RNA, 473 nt
Filed under: uncultured soil bacterium
Lineage: Bacteria
Description: bacterial SSU rRNA
Rfam family: Bacterial small subunit ribosomal RNA
Source: RNAcentral